CAGGACGAACGCUGGCGGCGUGCCUAAUACAUGCAAGUCGAACGGUCUUUCUAUGGAAGCUUGCUUCCACUGAGAAGAUAGUGGCGAACGGGUGAGUAACACGUGGGUAACCUGCCCAUAAGAGGGGGAUAACAUCCGGAAACGGGUGCUAAUACCGCAUAGUUUUCUUGAUCGCAUGAUCGGGAAAGGAAAGACGGCCUUUGUGCUGUCGCUUAUGGAUGGACCCGCGGCGUAUUAGUUAGUUGGUGAGGUAACGGCUCACCAAGACGAUGAUACGUAGCCGACCUGAGAGGGUGAUCGGCCACAUUGGGACUGAGACACGGCCCAAACUCCUACGGGAGGCAGCAGUAGGGAAUCUUCCGCAAUGGACGAAAGUCUGACGGAGCAACGCCGCGUGAGUGAAAGAAGGUUUUCGGAUCGUAAAACUCUGUUGUCAGAGAAGAACAAGUUGGAGAGUAACUGCUCCAGCCUUGACGGUAUCUGACUAGAAAGCCACGGCUAACUACGUGCCAGCCGCGGC
RNAcentral lists this ribosomal RNA (520 nucleotides) under uncultured bacterium. RNAcentral describes it as "bacterial SSU rRNA". It matches the Rfam family "Bacterial small subunit ribosomal RNA", at positions 25 to 518 of the family's 1533-position model. The record is from RNAcentral.